UAUGCUGGAUGGGGCAUUGUACAUGCUGCAGCCAAGAACUAUUUUUUAGUUUUCUGAAUUACAAUUGCCUAAUGUAUGGAUUCCCUUUUGGUUGCACAUCUAAUUCUACAGAUACUUGAAUGGAGCAACUCUGCAACUACACAACUAUUAUCAUUGUGAAUUGACAACUCGUAGCCCUGAUCAAGUACAAGAUAAAUUGAUACAACUUUGAGAAUACAUUUGUAUAGUGUUGCUUAAGAGAUGUUUGGUUAUAAUAUACUAUGUCUUAUAUUUAGGAACAGAGGUAGUACUAUUUUUCUUGAAUAUCCAACUCAACUGUGUGUUGGCUCUUUUCUCUUCAAGGAAAACAUGUUCUUUUACUUUUAGAAUACAUUCGCAGGACGACGCUACACCUAGCGCCGUGAACGACUCAUAGGUCGCUUCGGAUGAGAUCAUCAAAUUGGAAGGACAGGAUGAGGAUAUGGACCUCCCGGAGAUCUUCAAUAUGGAAGGACAAUGUCGUUGUUGUUGUAAAAACAUGGUGAUGGUGUUUGAGUUGAAAUAGGCAAGGGCAGUCGACCACGAGAGGAGUUAAAAGAGAACGGACGGAAUCAACCGAGCCUUCUGUCCAUUCAGUCUCCAACUUGACAAGGGAAAGCAAAAGGAAGCCCAUUGAACUGAUGCAACCAUGGUCCAAGUGGCAAGCUAGAAAGCAACACGCUUCGACGGUAUCAUUCCUUAAAUAAGCAUGACAUUUGCUGAAAUGGUAGUUUUUCAUUAACUUUGUAAUCUUUAUUCGUAUGUCAGCAGCUCUCUGACUAUGCUUUAAAUGAAAGAAGUUUACAUUGAUAGGAUAUGAGCAUCAGAGAUUAAGAAGAAAAUGGGCAUGUCAGAAUUAGUUAUAGUUGGUUGCCUUUAAUAUACAUCUUUCAUGUUCCCUCUGUAGAGCGUCCACUCCGUGUCCCCGCUCGUCAUGUAGGUGACCUUGGUGACAUUGCCAUGGUCGCAAAUGGCCACAACGGUGUAGUCAUCAAGCCUUGGAUUCAGCCCGAGCACGAGUCUGUGUGGGUACCAGUUGUUGGGCAGAGGAAGGAGCUCGAUCUCCUCGCCGGUGACAGGAUUUAAGAGACCACAACAUCGACCAUAGGCAAUGGGUAGCUAUAGCAGUUAGAUUGGAUCACGACUGAAACCAAGAACUUUGGGAUGGUGCGAGGAGUGGUAGUCAUAAAGCAAGUAACAAAGGGUAACCAUAGCAGUUAGACUUGAUCACGACUGAAUCUACAAACUUUGGGAUGGUGCGAGCAGUGGUGGUCAGCAAGCAAGAAAGAGAAAUGUUUGCCUUUAUUUGCUAUGACUAACAUGAUGUUCUCUCGGGUAUGUAAAGCUCCUUUGUGCAGGUAACAAAGGUAACCCUUCAAAGUAUUGAAGGGACAAAUAAACUGCAGAUUGCUUGUUUGAUUUCAAGUGAGUGAUUCAUGUUCUUGGCAUCAACCAUUGUUUGAGAUCUUUUGUAUUUGUAGGAGCACAUGCUUAAAUAUUAGACGAUCCCAAGUUAGAUAUACACCGACCUGUGUAUAUAGAGAUGGAAGCAAAUUACUAGCAUUAAUUUUGACGAUGAGGAAGGUAAAACAGAGAUGCGAAUUACUAACAUGGACACUAAGAGUAGGUCUUGGCGUCUUCCUCUCCCUCCGAACUGAUGUGGUUGUGUGGGUGUUGUCAACUGAUGUGCCUAUGCAGAUCAUCGUUGCCUAUGAUAUAUGCCGGUGGAUGGAAAUAGAGGUGUUCAAGCGAGUCAGCGGCAUGUCUGCCAUGCCACAACAGCUCAGCUCCGAACAUAUAAUAGGCGCAGCAAAUAACAUCGCAUAAUUUAGGCAAGCGGAAUAUAGCUGUGAAAUGCCUCCAUGUUGUAUUGCACACCCAUUUCUUAAUACUUUGACAUAAGUAUAAACAUCUACAAGCCUACUGUUCUUCCGCGUGUUAAAUUGAAUAAGAUUAUGAUGGUAUAGUGUUGCUGAUGAUGCCUUGCGCAGCAGACGUUUCCUUUAUCCCUUCAAAGACGCGGAUCAUACAUUAGCAUGCUCAAGUUGCGAUGACUUGACAUAGGCAAGAAAGUUCCACACAUUUUCUCUUCCAUUCACACUUAUACUUUAAGGGGUUUCUUACAGGUUUUAAACCUUGAAGCUUACAUGGUCACUAAUAUGGGCAUGUUGUGUUAAAUCAAUAACCUUGAUUUCAGUCUUUAGGCAUUAUGAAGAAACUUCAACAUUGAAGAUAGUGAAAGACAUGCAGUGCACUUGAAUUGGAUAAUAAUGAUGGUUUUAAUUUUGCCUCAAACAUGCAGAAGAAAUUCAAGAUAGUUUUUUUCCGGUGAAUACAUACAUUAUAGCAAGCAUUAGGUUUUUGACCAUGCACGAGCAAUGUAUAGAAGGUAGACAUGGAAGAAUAUUUUAUGGGCAAUUCAAUGUGUAUUGACUGUAACACUAAACUAUACCAUAUAUAUCUUUAUUCAAAUUUUUUUUGCAUUGCACAUAUAUGAUCAUGUAUAUAUAAAGCUGAAUGAAGUUUUUAGUUGAGUUGAUUCUUGACAAGCUCAAAUCCAUCACAGGCCUGGGGCUUGUCA
Aegilops tauschii subsp. strangulata is the source of this 2599-nucleotide non-coding RNA. The record is from RefSeq and is a predicted model, not a curated record. NCBI's taxonomy places the organism in Eukaryota, Viridiplantae, Streptophyta, Magnoliopsida, Poales, Poaceae.